This 1435-nucleotide ribosomal RNA is filed under the name uncultured organism. RNAcentral's name for it is "SSU rRNA". It matches the Rfam family "Bacterial small subunit ribosomal RNA". The record is from RNAcentral.
UUCAGGCUUAACACAUGCAAGUCGAGGGGCAGCAUGGUCUUAGCUUGCUAAGGCCGAUGGCGACCGGCGCACGGGUGAGUAACACGUAUCCAACCUGCCGUCUACUCUUGGACAGCCUUCUGAAAGGAAGAUUAAUACAAGAUGGCAUCAUGAGUCCGCAUGUUCACAUGAUUAAAGGUAUUCCGGUAGACGAUGGGGAUGCGUUCCAUUAGAUAGUAGGCGGGGUAACGGCCCACCUAGUCUUCGAUGGAUAGGGGUUCUGAGAGGAAGGUCCCCCACAUUGGAACUGAGACACGGUCCAAACUCCUACGGGAGGCAGCAGUGAGGAAUAUUGGUCAAUGGGCGAGAGCCUGAACCAGCCAAGUAGCGUGAAGGAUGACUGCCCUAUGGGUUGUAAACUUCUUUUAUAAAGGAAUAAAGUCGGGUAUGCAUACCCGUUUGCAUGUACUUUAUGAAUAAGGAUCGGCUAACUCCGUGCCAGCAGCCGCGGUAAUACGGAGGAUCCGAGCGUUAUCCGGAUUUAUUGGGUUUAAAGGGAGCGUAGAUGGAUGUUUAAGUCAGUUGUGAAAGUUUGCGGCUCAACCGUAAAAUUGCAGUUGAUACUGGAUAUCUUGAGUGCAGUUGAGGCAGGCGGAAUUCGUGGUGUAGCGGUGAAAUGCUUAGAUAUCACGAAGAACUCCGAUUGCGAAGGCAGCCUGCUAAGCUGCAACUGACAUUGAGGCUCGAAAGUGUGGGUAUCAAACAGGAUUAGAUACCCUGGUAGUCCACACGGUAAACGAUGAAUACUCGCUGUUUGCGAUAUACAGCAAGCGGCCAAGCGAAAGCGUUAAGUAUUCCACCUGGGGAGUACGCCGGCAACGGUGAAACUCAAAGGAAUUGACGGGGGCCCGCACAAGCGGAGGAACAUGUGGUUUAAUUCGAUGAUACGCGAGGAACCUUACCCGGGCUUAAAUUGCAGAUGAAUUACGGUGAAAGCCGUAAGCCGCAAGGCAUCUGUGAAGGUGCUGCAUGGUUGUCGUCAGCUCGUGCCGUGAGGUGUCGGCUUAAGUGCCGUAACGAGCGCAACCCUUGUUGUCAGUUACUAACAGGUUCCGCUGAGGACUCUGACAAGACUGCCAUCGUAAGAUGUGAGGAAGGUGGGGAUGACGUCAAAUCAGCACGGCCCUUACGUCCGGGGCUACACACGUGUUACAAUGGGGGGGUACAGAGGGCCGCUACCACGCGAGUGGAUGCCAAUCCCAAAAACCUCUCUCAGUUCGGACUGGAGUCUGCAACCCGACUCCACGAAGCUGGAUUCGCUAGUAAUCGCGCAUCAGCCACGGCGCGGUGAAUACGUUCCCGGGCCUUGUACACACCGCCCGUCAAGCCAUGGGAGCCGGGGGUACCUGAAGUGCGUAACCGCGAGGAGCGCCCUAGGGUAAAACUGGUGACUGGG